GAUGAACGCUAGCUACAGGCUUAACACAUGCAAGUCGAGGGGAAACGAUAUUGGAAGCUUGCUUCCGAUAGGCGUCGACCGGCGCACGGGUGAGUAACGCGUAUCCAACCUGCCCACCACUUGGGGAUAACCUUGCGAAAGUAAGACUAAUACCCAAUGAUAUCUCUAGAAGACAUCUGAAGGAGAUUAAAGAUUUAUCGGUGAUGGAUGGGGAUGCGUCUGAUUAGCUUGUUGGCGGGGUAACGGCCCACCAAGGCGACGAUCAGUAGGGGUUCUGAGAGGAAGGUCCCCCACAUUGGAACUGAGACAAGGUCCAAACUCCUACGGGAGGCAGCAGUGAGGAAUAUUGGUCAAUGGGCGAGAGCCUGAACCAGCCAAGUAGCGUGCAGGAUGACGGCCCUACGGGUUGUAAACUGCUUUUAUAAGGGAAUAAAGUGAGCCUCGUGAGGCUUUUUGCAUGUACCUUAUGAAUAAGGACCGGCUAAUUCCGUGCCAGCCGCCGCAGUAA
Molecule: ribosomal RNA, 508 nt
Filed under: uncultured bacterium
Lineage: Bacteria
Description: partial 16S ribosomal RNA
Rfam family: Bacterial small subunit ribosomal RNA
Source: RNAcentral